Molecule: ribosomal RNA, 175 nt
Filed under: Eutreptiella gymnastica
Lineage: Eukaryota; Euglenozoa; Euglenophyceae; Eutreptiales; Eutreptiaceae
Description: partial Archaeal small subunit ribosomal RNA
Source: RNAcentral
UGAAGCUGGGGCUAAAUUGGUGGAUCCUGUUUUAGGGCCCCACCCAAGUCGUGCGGUCUUGCCCUUGGGGCCCAUAAGGGUGUCAAGAGGGGAGGGUGCCAGCCAUGGACAUGGGCCAUGGGUACUUGAGCCCUGUGAGGGGCCAAGGAAGACAGGUGCCGGCCCCUGUUGGUCG